CAGAUGUGUAUAAGAGACAGGUGAAUCAUCGAAUCUUUGAACGCACAUUGCGCCCCUUGGUAUUCCGGGGGGCAUGCCUGUUCGAGCGUCAUUUCAACCCUCACGCGUAGCGUGGUCUUGGGCUCUGCCGGCAACGGCUUGCCUUAAAAUCAGUGGCGGUGCCAUCGAGCUCUACGCGUAGUAAUAAACCCCUCGCGUGUGAGUCUCGGCGGUCGCUUGCCAGCAACCCCCAACUUUCUAAGUUUGACCUCGGAUCAGGUAGGGAUACCCGCUGAACUUAAGCAUAUCAAUAAGCGGAGG
Molecule: unclassified non-coding RNA, 300 nt
Filed under: uncultured Hyaloscyphaceae
Lineage: Eukaryota; Fungi; Ascomycota; Leotiomycetes; Helotiales
Description: sequence contains 5.8S rRNA gene, ITS2
Rfam family: 5.8S ribosomal RNA (bases 1-91)
Source: RNAcentral